GCAAAGGAUGACCAUGAUCUCAGGCUCUUGGGUAACCCCCUCCCACACCAACUCUGAGUUUGUUUAUGGCUUGUUUUGGACAAUAAGACAUUAGCAAAUGAGAUAUAAGUACAGGCUUGAGAAGUACAUGGGCACUGGGGCUUGCUUGCUGGCUGCUCUGUGGAACCUGAGACUACCACGUGAAGAAGAAGUUCGAAGUGCUAGAGGUUGAGAGAACAUGUGCAGCAAAGAUGAAGCAUCCCAGCUGAGAUUCCCCUAGAUCAAUCAGCUUGCCAACUGCCGCAAAAGCGAAUAAAGCCUUCCAAGAGCAUCCAGCUAUAAGGUGAGCCAGUCCAGACCGGAAGAAUCACCUGAUCAACUGAAAGAUAUAUGUGAAAUAAUAAAUGUUAGAGGUUUUAAAUUUUAAGAGGUA
RNAcentral lists this long non-coding RNA (412 nucleotides) under Homo sapiens (human). RNAcentral's name for it is "non-protein coding LIN28B-AS1:11". Lineage: Eukaryota; Metazoa; Chordata; Mammalia; Primates; Hominidae. The record is from RNAcentral.